UUGGACCUGAUAUCAGGU
Molecule: ribosomal RNA, 18 nt
Filed under: Pythium porphyrae
Lineage: Eukaryota; Oomycota; Peronosporomycetes; Pythiales; Pythiaceae
Also listed under: 1 other name
Description: partial 28S ribosomal RNA
Source: RNAcentral